RNAcentral lists this ribosomal RNA (468 nucleotides) under uncultured bacterium. Its description in RNAcentral is "partial 16S ribosomal RNA". It matches the Rfam family "Bacterial small subunit ribosomal RNA", at positions 28 to 507 of the family's 1533-position model. The record is from RNAcentral.
GACGAACGCUGGCGGCGUGCUUAACACAUGCAAGUCGAACGGAAAGGGACUGCUCUUGUGGGGUGCUCGAGUGGCGAGAAGGUGAGUAACACGCGAGAAACAUCCCCUUGAAUUUGGGAUAACUUCAGGAAAAUGGAGCUAAUAUCGCAUAUGAGAUCCUGCUGCAUGGUGGGGGCUGGAAAGUUUCGGCGGGUGGGGGUGGGCGCGCGGCUUAUCAGCUUGUUGGUGGGGUAGUGGCUUACCAAGGCUUUGACGGGUAGCCGGCCUGAGAGGGUGACCGGCCACACUGGGACUGAGAUACGGCCCAGACUCCUACGGGAGGCAGCAGUGGGGAAUAUUGCACAAUGGGCGGAAGCCUGAUGCAGCAACGCCGCGUGCGGGAUGACGGCCUUCGGGUUGUAAACCGCUUUCGCCUGUGACGAAGCGUGAGUGACGGUAAUGGGUAAAGAAGCACCGGCUAACUACGUG